CCAGGACCGCUCGUCGGCGCUGGGCCGGACCCGCUGCUCCGCCCGCAUGAAGCCCGGGGUCUCGCGAUGCCCCACGCCGGGGCUCAGAUCCAGACGUUACAGGUAAAGGAAGCUGAAAACCAAGGGGGAAAGGAUCCUCCUAGGUGCCAACUUGCAACCCCGAAGUGUUGGGGUGACCCUGAAGUUGAGCAAGCCCCUGGCUGCGUCUUUCUUGGCGGUGGCUGGCAGAGGCGCGGGCCAGCAGCCGCCAGGGCCACCCCUGAGGUCCGCCCUGGGUGCAGGAGGCACACCGAGGUGAGGUGGCGGCGAAGAACUGCUGCUCCCGUGGCUUAGACAAGUGUUGAUGGCGGCCUCCUGGUGCCCAAGUUCUCACCUCCCGGUAGGAGAGCCGAAGCAGUCACCAGAAGACGCAGCAAAGGAAACCGUGAGCAGGAGAGAACUAGAAGCCAAGCUGCCUGAGCCCCGCAGCUCCUAAGGAAAUGGAAUUUGGGGAAGGCGGGCACAGCUGGUGUCCAGGGGAGGUGUGCCUCGGGAGAGAAGGUGGAGGGGGGAGAAGGUAAGGAAUGCGCUUUUAGCCUUAGUGUCUGUUAAACAAGUUGGUGGGAACCAGAGCCCUGCCUCUGGCGAGUCCCAGCCCAGGGUCCGGAGAGCUCUCCAGGCCGAUGGGCUGAGAAGUGCCGGCAGCUGCUCCCCUCAGACCAGGGCUGGGGAACUUAAAGGCCCAAGAAGUCACGUGGCCUGGCCCUGCCGAGGCAUCAGGGUGAGUUAGAUGUUUGACCAAACACAGGCUAAUGUUUAAGAUGGUAAUUUUGAAUGGCCGAGAAUGCUGUUAUAAAUACCCACAUGGCCCUCGGCAGGAAAAAGGGUCCCACCCCUGCCUUAGGCUGC
This is a long non-coding RNA of Eptesicus fuscus (big brown bat), 888 nucleotides long. RefSeq lists it as uncharacterized. The record is from RefSeq and is a predicted model, not a curated record. Lineage: Eukaryota; Metazoa; Chordata; Mammalia; Chiroptera; Vespertilionidae. The transcript has 3 exons.